GAUGAACGCUGGCGGCGUGCCUAAUACAUGCAAGUCGAGCGGACAGACGAGGCGCUUGUUCCUCUCACGUUAGCGGCACACGGGUGUGUAACACGUGGAUCGCCUCCCUAUCAGUCUGGGAUCACUUCGGGAAACCGGAGCUAAUACCGGAUAAUAUCUUGAACCGCAUGGUUCAAUAGUGAAAGACGGCUUUGCUGGCUCUACUCGAUGGUUCCGGGCCGCAUUAGCUAGUUGGUAAGGUAACGGCUUAUCAAGGCAACGAUGCGUAGCCGACGUGACAGGGUGAUCGGCCACCCGGGAACUGGGACACGGUCAAGGCUACUACGGGACGCAGCAGUAGGGAACGGGCGGCAGUGGGCGGAAGCCUGGCGGAGCAAGGCGGCGUGAGUGACGAAGGUCUUCGGAUCGUAAAACCCUCUUAUGAGGGAAGAACAAAUUUGUAAGGAAAUAUGCACGGCUUGACGGUAAUUAAUAAGAAAGCAACGGCUAACUACGUG
Molecule: ribosomal RNA, 497 nt
Filed under: uncultured bacterium
Lineage: Bacteria
Description: partial 16S ribosomal RNA
Rfam family: Bacterial small subunit ribosomal RNA
Source: RNAcentral